GACGAACGCUGGCGGCGUGCCUAAUACAUGCAAGUUGAGCGCUGAAGGUUGGUACUUGUACCAACUGGAUGAGCAGCGAACGGGUGAGUAACGCGUGGGGAAUCUGCCUUUGAGCGGGGGACAACAUUUGGAAACGAAUGCUAAUACCGCAUAAAAACUUUAAACACAAGUUUUAAGUUUGAAAGAUGCAAUUGCAUCACUCAAAGAUGAUCCCGCGUUGUAUUAGCUAGUUGGUGAGGUAAGGGCUCACCAAGGCGAUGAUACAUAGCCGACCUGAGAGGGUGAUCGGCCACAUUGGGACUGAGACACGGCCCAAACUCCUACAGGAGGCAGCAGUAGGGAAUCUUCGGCAAUGGACGAAAGUCUGACCGAGCAACGCCGCGUGAGUGAAGAAGGUUUUCGGAUCGUAAAACUCUGUUGGUAGAGAAGAACGUUGGUGAGAGUGGAAAGCUCAUCAAGUGACGGUAACUACCCAGAAAGGGACGGCUAACUACGUG
This 497-nucleotide ribosomal RNA is filed under the name uncultured bacterium. Its description in RNAcentral is "partial 16S ribosomal RNA". It matches the Rfam family "Bacterial small subunit ribosomal RNA", at positions 28 to 507 of the family's 1533-position model. The record is from RNAcentral.